AGUUGUCCGUUUAUUUAGCAAAUAAAUAAACAACUUGUACUGCCAUGUAGCGAUUUCGAUAGACGACGCCUUCAAGGGAGGAGGAGUCUACAACAUAUUGAAUUUAUCGAUCGAUUGUUAGGCCGAUUUCGAUCAGCAUUGUAUAGUUAAUGAAUGACAACUUGACGAGAUCUUGACACGCACGUUGGAAGUGUACGCGUGUUUGCACCUCGAUGAGCGUUGCACAAUAACAAAGCUCCGUUGGUGAGCGUAUUGAUUAAUAAAGCUAGGUGAAGUCCUUGAGUGCCUCAAGGACUUUGUUUUGUUUUAGCAGUAUUUUUUCCUUCAACAAUUAAUCUUGCAUCUCCAACCGUGGAAUGAGUUACAUGUGACUCGAGACAAACAAACAGUGCAAUUGCAACAAUAUAAUUAGUCAGCGGUAAACAACACAUUCUAUCUGAGAAUAGUUUAGACUUUUUGAGCGUAUCUUUUGUUUAUCACAUGUUGCAUUUUAAUUACUGUUAUUUUUAAAUUUAUAUCCAUGGUUUUUCUUCGACUAGAUAUAAAUUUGCCAUAUCUUCAUGCCAACCACAAGGAUUCUGCUUUUGCACACACCUUGCUAAUUAUAAUUUUGCACCUUGCCUUGGGAAGGCUAUACCCUUCCCACUUUUUCAUUUUUGGCCAAAUUUAAAAUUUUGCUUAAAAUACAUGAAUUCGAAUCAAAA
Molecule: long non-coding RNA, 704 nt
Organism: Daphnia magna
Lineage: Eukaryota; Metazoa; Arthropoda; Branchiopoda; Diplostraca; Daphniidae
Exons: 2
Source: RefSeq, a predicted model, not a curated record